RNAcentral lists this ribosomal RNA (133 nucleotides) under uncultured bacterium. RNAcentral describes it as "partial 16S ribosomal RNA". It matches the Rfam family "Bacterial small subunit ribosomal RNA", at positions 355 to 480 of the family's 1533-position model. The record is from RNAcentral.
UGGGGAAUUUUGGACAAUGGGCGAAACCCUGAUCCAGCCAUGCCGCGUGCGUGAAGAAGGCCUUCGGGUUGUAAACCGCUUUUGUCCGGGACGAAAAGGUUAUGGCUAAUACCUGUCGCACGUGACGGUACUC